AAAUAAAAAAAAACAAAAUGAAAAAUGUGAAGCACAGUAACGAACAAAACCUCUCGUCGUCCUUAACAAAUCUCUCUCACUCUCAACGAGUCUCUCCCUCACGACCUCAAACCCCACGAUUUUUCUCUCUCGCUCUCAAUCGCUAUCCCUCUCAAACACUCACCUCUCUCAGUCGCUCUCAAAAUCGCUCAUCACCGACCUUCACUCUCAACAAAUCUCUCUCUCUCUCGCCCAAACAGCGUGAAAGUUUGAAAGAAAGCUCACCUUUGCGGUGAAUCGGUAGCUCAGGUUUAGGGUUUGGGAUUGGCUUCUGCAUCAAAACAGGUGUCUCUGCAAACUCCUUUUGAUGUGCUCAGUUGGGAUUGGCCUUUUUGAUGCUAGAUCCGAAAAUGUGAAAUUUGGAGCAAAAGCUUCUCUGGUUUCAAUGUAGCUGCUGAUAGAAUUUUGGUGAUAGGUACGAGUUCUAAACGGAAUAUGGCUCAAUUGGAUAGCCCAUUGGUGCAACUCUCGGAAUGAUAAAAUGUAGACAAGGUUGUAAUCAAGCUUCUGUGUAUUGAAGGCUGAAGUUUCGUUGACUGAGCACGAGUUUGUAAAAGGCAUCCCAGUCCAUCUAUUAUCAAGUCCUUUGGAAUGUAAUCUAGAGUCAUGAGUGCAACCUGUCUCAAGCCCACCUAUAUCAACAGAAUAAUCGACCAGAUUGGAUUUUGCAAUAACUGUUGCCGUAGGUGAAUGAACCAUUACAGCUUCCUCAACCAUAUAUUUUCUCUGCUUUCUGCUGUUAUUAAAGUCUGGCCAGAAAAAGUUUUCGAGCAUAUACUUGAUAUUCUUCCGGCUAUUGGGGUAUCAGCUGUUACACAGAUUGACAGUCAUUCAAAGCAUGUUUUUGAGGAUCUUAUUUCUGCAAUUGUUCCUUGUUGGCUGUCUAAGACAGAUGAUGUGGAGAAAUUACUGAAGGUUUUCAUAGAUAUAUUUCCUGAAAUAGUUGAGCACAGAAGGCCAUCCAUUGUUUUACAUCUCCUACGAACUUUGGGUGAGGGUAAAAGCUUGUCCUCAUUGCUUAUUUUGUUGUUCUCUUCACUGGUUUCAAGGAAAGCCAGCCUCUUCGUCAAUAUUCAGACGCCAGAUGCUUUAUCAUUUUGUACUAAAGAGUGGGAAUAUAAAUUAGCAGUGCAGAUUUGUGAGCAGUUUACAAGUAUGACCUGGCAUUCGGUUUCUUAACAUUGGAUGGCUUAGAAUGAGCGCCAGGCACGACAUCUGACUUUCAAACGAACCAAGACUAGAAGCAUCAACAGACACCGGACCAAGGAACUUGCCAACAGAUCCGUUAUCAGAACCAUUAUCCAAAAGAAGUUCCUCGAGAACUGCUUUAAUUCUUUGUAGCUUGGGAGGAACAACAAUGACAUCAAAAGGAAGAUUACCGUCGGCAUCAACACAACUAACAUGGGCACCCGCCGUUAUAAGAAGCCUAACAGCAUCAACAACAUUAACAGACCCACCAGAAGAAACAUAGUGAAGGGCAGUGAUCCUAAACAAAUUUCAGCAGAUCUGAGUUAUUAUGUCUUAGGCAAUCUUUUAUAUCGAGUUUGCAGUUACGCAAAGUGCCAUGUAGAUCAACAACACCGGGUGCCAAAAUAUUCUUAAUCUGCCAUGAGUCAUAAGCUGCAUUUACAAAGAAGAUUGGUGUACUGAUUUGUGCGACCACAUUUUGCGGGAAAAACACAGCCCAGGCAAAAGUCUUGAUGUGCAAGAUGAAGGCAAAUUCUUGGGCAUUUCCUUCUGCAAACUUCUACUAUUUCGUGGUAACUGUAACUUGUUCGAACAUUCCAAGGAUGAGUUAGGUCGCUUGACAGUUCUUUCCAAAUUGAAAGCCGUACCUUUUUCAAAGUCACUACUAUCACUGUCAUCAUCAGAAAAGCUUAUCACAAGAUCUUUAUCAUCGCUUGCAUGACCAGCCCAUGGAGAAGAUUUAAGGGGUUUUGGCUCAAACGAGGCUUGGUGAUAGAGCAACAACAACAAGUGUCAUGGCAACAUCUGGCAUCUUGUUCAUAUUGAUAUCAAUGCCUUGCAACACUUUCCGACCAGAAGAAUCUCGUGGAGGCCCGGUAACUGUGACGCUGUUUUCUGUCCACGUAACUUUAGCUCCCAUCCUUCAAGAACUUCAGAAAAUUUACAUCUCCCUGUAAACUGCUCGUCCCGCAGCCUAUAACCGUGAUAGUUCCAACGGUAACUUCUGCACCGGCUAGGAAGUAACUGGCGCUAGAAGCAUCACCUUCAGUGCUAAUAGAUCCAGACAUUCGCCUGCAGCAACCAAGGCUGCCGUCAAAGGACGCAUUGCUGUACCGGCAUUUCCAAGGAAUAAAUUAACUUCAUCUUUAGAUUCUCUACACGUGGGAAACAAUCCCCCACUGUCUUCCACAACUGCUUGUUUGGUUGUUUUUGUCUCUAUUAGUGUAUAUUUAUGUUAUAAUUUAUAUUAUUGAAGUGGUUGGAAGGGUUUGUUUUGUGUAGGUUUUUGGUAAGUUAGAAAAUGUUCCUCAGUUGCGUGAGGUCAGAAUGGAGGUCUUUUGAAGGCUUGUUGGUUAAUAAGGAGUGUUGGCUUGUUAAUGUUGAAAUUCUAUGGACUUAAUGUUGCUCUGUUACGAUUGUGGUAGGAUGGAUGUUAACAUGGAGCUAUUGUGGUUCGGAAUAUGAUCAUAGGCCAUGUGAAUUUGGAUUGUAAUUUUUAUAGUAUGAAAUUGAAAAUGAAUAUAUGGUAUUAAUGAAUGGAUGAAAAUUUGGUUGA
This is a long non-coding RNA of Lathyrus oleraceus (garden pea), 2782 nucleotides long. RefSeq lists it as uncharacterized. The record is from RefSeq and is a predicted model, not a curated record. The transcript is spliced from 5 exons. Lineage: Eukaryota; Viridiplantae; Streptophyta; Magnoliopsida; Fabales; Fabaceae.